UACGGAGGGUGCGAGCGUUGUCCGGAAUCAUUGGGCGUAAAGGGCGCGUAGGUGGCCCGGUCAGUUCGUGGUGAAAGCGCGGGGCUCAACCCUGCGUCGGCCAUGAAUACUGCCGCGGCUGGAGCACUGUAGAGGCAGGCGGAAUUCCGGGUGUAGCGGUGGAAUGCGUAGAGAUGCGGAGGAACACCGAUGGCGAAGGCAGCCCCCUGGGCCAACACUGACGCUCAGGCACGAAAGCGUGGGGAGCAAACAGG
This 254-nucleotide ribosomal RNA is filed under the name uncultured bacterium. RNAcentral describes it as "partial 16S ribosomal RNA". It matches the Rfam family "Bacterial small subunit ribosomal RNA", at positions 524 to 776 of the family's 1533-position model. The record is from RNAcentral.